RNAcentral lists this RNase P RNA (163 nucleotides) under Lysobacterales bacterium. RNAcentral describes it as "partial RNase P RNA component class A". It matches the Rfam family "Bacterial RNase P class A", at positions 191 to 367 of the family's 367-position model. Rfam says of the family: Ribonuclease P (RNase P) is a ubiquitous endoribonuclease, found in archaea, bacteria and eukarya as well as chloroplasts and mitochondria. Its best characterised activity is the generation of mature 5'-ends of tRNAs by cleaving the 5'-leader elements of precursor-tRNAs. Lineage: Bacteria; Pseudomonadati; Pseudomonadota; Gammaproteobacteria; Lysobacterales. The record is from RNAcentral.
AACGCCGCAUGGCACGGCAAACCCCACCUGGAGCAAGACCAAAUAGGGGAGCUAUGGCGCGGCCCGCGUCGCUCCCGGGUUGGUUGCUUGAAUCCUGCGGCGACGCAGGAUCCAGAGGAAUGGCUGCCCACGACAAAACCCGGCUUAUCGGCCGACUCCUUCU